This 253-nucleotide ribosomal RNA is filed under the name uncultured bacterium. RNAcentral's name for it is "partial 16S ribosomal RNA". It matches the Rfam family "Bacterial small subunit ribosomal RNA", at positions 524 to 776 of the family's 1533-position model. The record is from RNAcentral.
UACGGGGGGGGCAAGCGUUGUUCGGAAUUACUGGGCGUAAAGGGCUCGUAGGCGGCCAACUAAGUCGGACGUGAAAUCCCCAGGCUCAACCGGGGAACUGCGUCUGAUACUGGAUGGCUAGAGUUUGGGAGAGGGAUGCGGAAUUCCAGGUGUAGCGGUGAAAUGCGUAGAUAUCUGGAGGAACACCGGUGGCGAAGGCGGCAUCCUGGACCAACACUGACGCUGAGGUGCGAAAGCGUGGGGAGCAAACAGG